AUGAUUUUAAUGUUCCGUUUCCUAGUCCUCCCAAAUUUGCUGAUUUUGAUCUUCCAUUCAAUGAAUUUGUGGUUCCAGAAGUUAACUUUGAUGAUUCCUUCUAAAGCUCCAAUAUUCUUCUUCGGCCUUGCCUUAUCUUUUAAUCAAUGUGUGUAUAUUUGCCUAACUGUUUCAAAUAGUUAUAUUUUUUAUAAUCAUUUUUUAACUGAAACAUUUUGUCAUUUUACUGUGAAGUUUUAGAAGUCAAGUCAAUCGGAAAAGACCAAUAAUGACAAUAUUGUGCCUGUCAAGUAUUAAGCUAAGAGGGAAGACUUCAUAAUUUUCUUUUUGUUUAAGUUCUAAAUUGUAUCGCAUAUGUAUUCACUUUUUUCUUUUUAUCAUCAUGACAUGUUGAGGAAACAAAUUUCCGUCUGAAUGUUGUAUGUGAAUGAAACAACUUUAACCAAGACCUUAAAUAACAACUAUCCAUGCAUUUUGAAUCCAGGAAUCUCAACAGCUAAUCUCUAUAAACAAUUUGUUUACCACUCACUCACAGCUUCAGGAAUACCAGCAGUGUUUCACAUUUCAAAUUGCUUAAAAUGCGUUGCUUAAAUUUUAUACAGAACUAAUAUUAACAACUAGAUCAAUUUAACCAAUUAGUAAGAAGUAAUACUGGCUCUCAUGAAACUAAAUUCCUGGUAUGUAAUUCAAAUAAAUCUUGUACAGGAGUGGUAACGAUGUUGAUUUUGACAUUCUAAGGGAGAUAAUCAUCAACAAAUCUCAUAGUUGCCUCUGCAGUGCAUGCUUGAGGAAUUCAAUGUAUGAAUUGCAAAUUGAGCCGUACAGAAAGUAUUACUGUUCCAUAACCAAGAGCAUGGAUAGUUUUAUUUCGGCAAUAUUGUUUCCUAACGAAUGGUACAGUAGAAAAAGUAGCUACAUCUUUAUUUUGUGAUAAGAGGAAGCCCUCAUGAAGUUGCAGGUAUUUUAACACACACUGUCAGGUAAUUUUUUAAUUUUCCUUUUUUUUAUGUGUAUGUAACGUUAAUUAUGUGCCUCCAUACCUCAAAUUAGAUGUUAGACUGUCCAGAUCAGUGAUAGUUCCUCAUAAUUUUGAUUUUUGUAAGAAUUGUCUUCAUACUAGAAUAAAUAUAUAUCAAAAAAUUGCUUUAAACCAAUGUGAUUUUAUCUGUACUAACUGUUGAAGAUCAAGCAGUGCAUUUUUAUAGAUGGUACGACAUGACCCUCAACUAUUCCUAAGAAUACAGCUGCUGAGGUUGCUUUUAGUGGUAUCAUUGGUGUAUGUAUUGCUAAAUCAGCGUUGUCAUUAUUGUUUCCUAAAGAGGCCUUCAAGGUAAAUAUUUUUUAAGUCAUAGUUUUUUAAUAAAAUCCAAUUUCAUUUUUCUAGAUUUUCUAGUGUUUUGUCUUGUUUUAUUCCUUUUAGUUCUGGUAGUGCUCUGACGACUCGGACUUGGUCAUCAGCAAAGCAUACAGUAUGAAGGGUUACAAUAUUUCUGUUCAGAUACUCUCUCUUAUUCACAAGACUCAUCGCAUCUUACAGACAAUUGUUUAAAAAUUCCUUUGAUAAUUUCGAGCACACAAUAUUUUAGUUUCUCCUUAGUUGAAAAAUAAGAAAGAAAAUGUAUAAAGCUUUGAAUGAACUUAAAAUUCUCAUCUCAUUCAAAGUAUCAAGAGACUUCUUUUGUAAGACACGAGAAAUGGGUUUAUAAUUUUUCAUAAAAAAUACGUAGAAAACAUUUUUUUUUCAUUAUAAAAUAACCAACAUUUUAUUGCAUAAAACAUAAAUAAACUAUGAGCGCAUAGUUCUCUCAAAACUAUUGCGAUAUAAAAACAAAAUUGAUAUUUAAAACAUGUUCAUUGUAAAAAAUGGAUGAAAAGUUCAGCUUGUAUUUACAUACUUCCUCUAUAAAAGCUUUAAAAAAACAUGAAGUGUACAAGAUGCCCCCGAAGUAAUUAAU
RNAcentral lists this long non-coding RNA (1955 nucleotides) under Bemisia tabaci. Its description in RNAcentral is "lncRNA ENSSSA3NGG001851". The record is from RNAcentral. Lineage: Eukaryota; Metazoa; Arthropoda; Insecta; Hemiptera; Aleyrodidae.